RNAcentral lists this long non-coding RNA (3935 nucleotides) under Lingula anatina. RNAcentral describes it as "uncharacterized LOC106180038". The record is from RNAcentral. Lineage: Eukaryota; Metazoa; Brachiopoda; Lingulata; Lingulida; Lingulidae.
UCAGAAGCAUGAGGUUGGAAGUGUGUGGUUAACAAGAAAUUUCUUGUGUGUAUAUAUUUUGACAUUUUUGUCAAUACAUUUUUGUGUAUUUUGUCUUUUUUGACAAUACAUCUUUUUUCCAACAUGUCGGAGAAAAAAGAGAUAGCUGAAGGCUCGAAAGAGAAACAAGUGGCUAAAAAUAGUAAGAAAUCAACCAGUGCUGUUGUAAAGACCACUAGUGUUGCUACGAAAACCGCAACUAACCAAGAAUCUAAGAUUCUAGAAUACUUGCUAAGUCUGAGUGAAAAACGAUACCAAAUUAGACAUGUUUUCCUCUAGGAUUAUGGUUAUUGAAGAAACUGUACAGGGAUGUUUUACCUGGCAUGUCCUUUGACUACAACUUUGACAACAAUGGUCAGUGUUCUGAUACUAAGCGACCUCUUGAGAAUGAGGUAGAUUCCCAAAGCAAAUUUGCGGAUAUGGACAAGUGGUUUAAAGGGGAAGAUGCCGUGGGCCCUCCAUUGGAUGAAACACUGGCAGCAAAUAUAAUGAUUUGUUUCGCCAGGGAUUGGAGGAUACUCAAUUUGAGAAGUUAACUGAGAUUAUUGCAAGGCCAGACAAUUGCCAAGCACUCGCCACAGUCCGUUGCAAUAAGUUGAUAUGGAAGUUAUGCACACCGCAAAUCAGACACGCAGACAAGAUGCUCUAGAUAGUGGGCACAUCUCUGGUGAAAGGCUCCAUACUUAUCGCUCAAGCAACAAGUAAGAUAGCUGAACUUGAUUUUUCUGGUUUUCAGUCAGGCUCGGAGUCAGAGUAUGACAUUCAAGGGGAAGCUAAUAGUGUAUCAAUUGGAUUUAUGCAAAGAUGAAUUGUCUCUCUUUGGGUACUAUAAUCAACAGAUAUGUAUGAUUAGGAGGAGUUGCAUUAAACCUGUUAUCAAAAAGGAGUACAGCCAUUUGUGUUAUCCUGCUGUACCAUUCACCACUGAACUGUUUGGAGAUGAUGUCUUACAAACGACUAGAGAGUUGGAAUACUGAGCCAAAAUAGGGAAUAAAAUUCAAGGCAAAAGAGAGGUUUAUAAAGGAAACUAUAGACCCAGUAAAAACAAGACUUUUCAUGUCGGGCAUGCUAAGUAUGCUUGAAAACAGCAAGGCAGGUACACUGGAAAGUUCUCAGGGUAUCAGACGACCCAUGGCAGUGAGUCAAAAAAGGGAGUUCGAUGCAAGGACUCAAGGCCUUAUAACAAGGUGUCUACAGAAAAUAAAAACAGACAAAGCAAGAGCUGUUAUGGUGGUACCACUGUGGACAACAGAAAUAUGGUGGCCAAUGUUGAUGUUAAUGCUGGUGAAAGCUCCUUUGAUUUUACCACCGGUGGAAGAAACUUUGAUGCUGCAGUUUUCAGAGAAAGUUCAUCCACUACCCAACCAAAUGACCUUGAUUGCAUGCAAGUUAUCAGGAAGUCUUUUAGAGACCGUGGAUUUUCAGAACAAUCAAUUAACAUUUUUAUGGCAACAAAGAGAGCAAAGACUAAAUGUCAGUACAAGACAUAUUUAUCAAAAUGGUUUCAUUAAUUCACUUUAUGUUUCUGUGAAUGAUGUUAUUGAGUUUUUGAGUGAUCUGUAUAACAAGGGCUUAGGAUAUAGUUCCUUGAAUACAGCCAGGAGUGCCCUCUCAUCACUUGAAAUUUUACUGGAACAGUAUACAACAGGAUCGCACCCACAAGUUAUCCGUUAUAUGAAAGGUGCAUUUAAGGGGGGAAUGUACCCAAAUAUCACAAAAAAUCAUCAUUUUGUGGUUUUUUAUGUCUAAUUAUUGGUUAAAUCUGUAUCUAAGGUUUAACGGAAUAACCUUUUUACAUUUUGAACAAAAAUUUUUUUUUUCUGAGUAUUUUGAUACUGCACUCAUCGGCACCGGCGGCCUGGUCUAUGCCCCACCUUCGUUGCCAAGGGCCAUUGGCAUGGGUAAUCUCAGUGGGAGGACCUUAGCAGCAUCAGCACGACUCGCCAAACAAUAAAACAAGAACGUGUCAUACUCCCUUUGUCAUAAACAGUGAUCAGCAAAGCAUUGCCUAUUGUUCCGCUUAAGCCGUUUUGAUAGUCACUCUUGAUUGUGAUCAGCGCGAAGGAGAAUAUUUUCUGACACAUUGGAUUUGCUCAAAAUGCAUGUUUUUCCUUGAAUUGCUUGUUGCUAUACAUGUACUUUUGAUUUUCUUCUUAACAUUUGGAGAUACGAAAAAAAAGAGAAACAUUCCUCUGCUUGCUACCUGUGACAGCAACCGUCAAACUAGCGAUCAAUCUUCGACAGCAGCUCUAAACAGUCGUCAGAUUUUAUAGAUCUGUGCAACUUGGGCCAUCUAGCCUAGCAUUGAGGGCAUGUUUAUCAAACCUUUAACUUGACAACUAAUGAUUACUUGGCUCUAUGAUUGUGACCAUGGUGAUAAUUUCUGUGUUUUGGACUUUUUCUGAGCGACAUCGUUGUUAAUAUUUCGUCAAAUACUGACUGGAAUAAUAUACAAGAUUGCUUUGAAAAGACUUGAGCCCAUAUACUAGCAUAGCCUUUCAUUGGGUGGCGUAAAAUUUCAGUACAUGUACAAAAAAACCUAAGCAAAUAGAGCAAAUAGACUCCAUUUUCCGUGUGAACAAAAGUAAGCUAAGAUCAAAUGAGGGCUGUAGUAUUUAUAACAUUUUGAUUUUUCAGAAUUAUUCAUUUUGGCUAUGAGAUAUGAGCUGGAGAAUAAGCCCUAGCAUUUUCAACCUAAAUGCUGGUAUCCCGCGAGGUACAGUUCUGGAUGCAUGUAUGCACUUUCAAGUCGGACAUGUUUUUUUAUUUCUUCAAUAAUUAUGCCAAUUUCUGACAAAUACAACUUUACACAUUUCCUCUAACAAGCCCUGCCUGGUUGCAUCUUUUUCUUGUUGUUGAUGGUCCGAUCGGCGUCCUGCAACACGACCGUGUUUUUGAACCAUUUUUCACUCGGUGAAUGUGGACAAGACUAUCUGUAAUGAUGCUAUAUUGUGUGCACAUCUAGAGUGCAUCCCUAACACUUGCCCCGAUGUCAAUUGACGUGGCCACUGAUUGGUUGAGUAGUUACAGCUUACUUGAUUGCCUGUCAAUCAUUCUGGCAGUGCUAGAGGAAACCCCUUGAAGUUACUAACAGGAGGUGAGAUUGAUACAAAAAUAACAUUUUCUGACAUCCGAAUGCAUGCAAACAAGCUAAUACAUUAAAUGAAUGUGAAUAAAAAAGCUAAGACCUUUAUUUUAAGAGAACAUUUCCAACCUACAUUCCCCCCUUAACCUAUGCCCACCUACAAGUAGCCAUGUGGAUGUUUGGGAUAUUGAUCAAGUUUUAUGUGAUUUGCGCAAAUUGUCGCCUGUACGUAAUAUUAGUUUGAAAGACCUGACUUUGAAACUUCGCCGCCAGGAUUCAGACUGUACUGUUGUUGACUGUUAAGAAUUUUAAAAAGUUGACGUCUGAACAUGUUUUCUGUUGUGAUGGUUUACUUAAGCAGAGUAGACCGGGAGUUAAUUUUUCCAAAGUUCAUUGAAAAGCUUACCCUCCUGAUAGGAGACUUUGUGUGUACACUGUCAUGAAAGAGUACUUGAAACGUACUUAAAUGUUGAGACACUGUAAAGAAAACAGGUUGUUAAUAAGUUUCAGAAAACCACAUAAUGCAGUGUCAAAGGACACUAUUGCACGGUGGAUUAAAGUGGUCUUAAUAAGGUCAGGAACAGAUAUUGUGAAGUAAGGUGCUCAUAGUGUUAGAGCAGCAAUAACCUCUAAAGCUAAACUGAUGAAACAUGCUGGUUGUACGUUUACAAGAUUUUAUGACAAAGAAAUAGUCAAAAAUGACAGUGGUGAAAGCUGUACUUAAAUUGGAUAAGCAAAGGUCUUAAGUCAUUUCAUUUAUAAACUACUUAUGUGUUUGAUAACCAAUAAAGUUUUCUUGUUUGAAUUUAAA